RNAcentral lists this ribosomal RNA (490 nucleotides) under uncultured bacterium. RNAcentral's name for it is "partial 16S ribosomal RNA". It matches the Rfam family "Bacterial small subunit ribosomal RNA", at positions 30 to 507 of the family's 1533-position model. The record is from RNAcentral.
AUUGAACGCUGGCGGCAGGCCUAACACAUGCAAGUCGAACGGUAACAGGAAGAAGCUUGCUUCUUUGCUGACGAGUGGCGGACGGGUGAGUAAUGUCUGGGAAACUGCCUGGUGGAGGGAGAUAACUACUGGAAACGGUAGCUAAUACCGCAUAACGUCGCAAGACCAAAGAGGGGGACCUUCGGGCCUCUUGCCAUCGGAUGUGCCCAGAUGGGAUUAGCUAGUAGGUGGGGUAACGGCUCACCUAGGCGACGAUCCCUAGCUGGUCUGAGAGGAUGACCAGCCACACUGGAACUGAGACACGGUCCAGACUCCUACGGGAGGCAGCAGUGGGGAAUAUUGCACAAUGGGCGCAAGCCUGAUGCAGCCAUGCCGCGUGUAUGAAGAAGGCCUUCGGGUUGUAAAGUACUUUCAGCGGGGAGGAAGGGAGUAAAGUUAAUACCUUUGCUCAUUGACGUUACCCGCAGAAGAAGCACCGGCUAACUCCGUG